GUCUAGUGGGCAGGACGCUGAAUUAGGAGUCAGGAGAUCUUGCUUCUGCUUCUGUAUCUGUCACGUGGUGAGCUUGGUUUGUACCGAUCGUUAAGGCACCGUGUAAUUACCACCACCGCUAAAAGGCACGGGAUGAUUUAUCCUUGACAAGCAUCACCUUUUCGAGACGACGCCAUUAACACUUACGUGGAGUUUUUUUGGCAUGGGGAGCAGGUUUCUCCCCCACCCAGAGUUCAGUGGGGUGCAGAGCUGGCUGGCUUCACAGAAACCAGGAUCCAAACUUUCAUGAGGACACCCAUGCUCCAUAAGAUGUUCCCUCGACUGACCUUAUUGAGAUGUGAGCCUCCAAUGUGAUUUGUGGAGCAAAUUGGCUAAAUAUAUUAAUAAAGGGUGGGCCCAUUCCGG
Molecule: long non-coding RNA, 405 nt
Organism: Mauremys reevesii (Reeves's turtle)
Lineage: Eukaryota; Metazoa; Chordata; Testudines; Geoemydidae
Exons: 4
Source: RefSeq, a predicted model, not a curated record